This 222-nucleotide ribosomal RNA is filed under the name uncultured fungus. RNAcentral's name for it is "partial 18S ribosomal RNA". It matches the Rfam family "Eukaryotic small subunit ribosomal RNA", at positions 800 to 1020 of the family's 1831-position model. Lineage: Eukaryota; Fungi. The record is from RNAcentral.
GAUUUUAGCAUGGAAUAAUGGAAUAGGACGUGCGGUUCUAUUUUGUUGGUUUCUAGAGUCGCCGUAAUGAUUAAUAGGGAUAGUUGGGGGCAUUGGUAUUGAGUCGCUAGAGGUGAAAUUCUUGGAUUGACUCAAGACCAACUACUGCGAAAGCAUUUGCCAAGGAUGUUUUCAUUAAUCAAGAACGAAGGUUAGGGGAUCGAAAACGAUCAGAUACCGUUG